CCAAAAUCUUACUUAAGUGGAAAACGAUGUGAAGUUACUUAACCAACCAGGAGGUGGGCUUAGAAGCAGCUAUCCUUUAAAAAAAGAGUAAUAGGUCACUGCUUUUGUGAAUUUGCGCGGCAAAUAAAACGGGGCAAGCGUAAGUACCGAAGCAGUAGGCUUAGUUUAAUAGGUGGUAGGAGAGGGUUCAAUUUGCGACGGCGGGAUACCGGUAAGGAGAGGUGGAGCGAGUAGAAGUGAGCAUGCAAGCAUGAGUAGCGAUAAUUAAUGUGAGAAUCAUUAACGCCGUAAACCCAAGGUUUCCUACGCAAUGCUCGUCAUCGUAGGGUUAGUCGGGUCCUAAGUCGAGUCCGAAAGGGGUAGACGAUGGCAAAUUGGUUAAUAUUCCAAUGCCAGCAAUAGUGUGCGAUGGAAGGACGCUUAGGGCUAAGGGGGCUAGCGGAUGGAAGUGCUAGUCUAAGGUCGUAGGAGGU
This 473-nucleotide ribosomal RNA is filed under the name Campylobacter jejuni. Its description in RNAcentral is "bacterial LSU rRNA". It matches the Rfam family "Bacterial large subunit ribosomal RNA", at positions 1047 to 1528 of the family's 2925-position model. The record is from RNAcentral. Lineage: Bacteria; Pseudomonadati; Campylobacterota; Epsilonproteobacteria; Campylobacterales; Campylobacteraceae.